UGAGACACGGGCUGUUGUUUAGGGGGUUUGGAUUGUUUGUAGCUGAAGGCUGAAGUCAGACGUCAGGAUGUUUAACCCUCACCAGCAGCAGCAGCAGCAUCAGUUUCAUCAGCACCUCCGGCAGCUGCAGCAGCUGUUUCAGCAGCAGACGCCUCCUCCUCCGCCGCCUCCUCCCCCUCCUCCACCUCCCCCCGCCCAUCACAUCACACACACACGGUCUCUGGCGGCUCCUGCUCCUGCUUCUGCUCGUAUGGUCAACCUGUGCUCAGCCACGCAGACCAUCAUCGCUCCCAACCCCAUGCUGCAGGGGGCGCUGCUCAUGCAGCAGAUGCAGGCGGGCGGCAUGCGUGGCUUUGCGAUGGGGGGUCAGCAGUUUCCUCAGUUCUUCACUGCGGGCUCCAGAGCGUCUCUUCUGGGACCCGUUCCGAUGGGAGUCGCCAUCAAAACCCCUCACAUGGGAUUCCAGCGACACUUCACGCCACACGCGCGCUAUUUCACCAACGAGUUUCAGGCUCGUCAGCCGGACAGGAAGAGGGAAAACGAGCAGAAGUCUGCGGGCAGCAGCGACAGCCAAUCAGAAGCCAGCAGCAGAAGAGCAGAUGAAGCGUCCGCUGCUGGAUGUCAGGAGUCUUCAGAGCAGCCCGAUGAACCAGAGGCCAAAAAACACAAAACACAAGAGUCAGAAGAGCCUGUGGAGACAGAAUCAGCUCAAAGCCCUGAAUAUAAGAGCCCAGAUCCUGCAGAGCUCACUCUGCAGGAGGAAGGCGUGGACGGAGCGCUGGCCGCUGAAGCAGACGAACCGAGUCCAGCCGCCGAGCAGGUUGAAAGCACUGAAGCGCCAGCUGAGCAGCAGAUCAGCGAGGGUCCAGACGCCGCCGCAGGCUCUGAUUCAGUCCCGGAGAUCAAGGAGACCACGGACACUGCUGAGGACGUCAAAGACACAGCGGCAGAGACCUCCAACAAGUUCUUCUGCUAUAUUUGCAACAUCACUUGCCAUAACCAGCAAAGUUUCCAGAGCCAUAUGAACGGCCUGACGCACCAGCAGAAGAUGAUGGAGAUCCAGCACAUGAGCAACGCGUGUCUCGUCACGCUGCUGCCGCGAGUCCAGGAGUCCCUGCAAGGAGCUCGCAGAGACGGUGAGAAGAGGCCGGGUCUGCAGAGAUGGUGCUCCACCUGCCAGACGCACUUCACCACCAACGUCACGGAGCACCGCAGGACCAAGGAGCACAAGCGCUGUAUCCGCUCGUCCAGCUCCAGCUGCACCGUGUGUAAGCUGCACUUCAGGACGUCCAGAGAGUUUGUGGAGCACAUGCAGUCGCCGGAGCACCAGCAGCGAGUCCAGCAGGUGAUGUUCAGUCAUGCGCUGUGGAAGGAGUCGGGCAAAGCCUGCGCAGAUCAGCUCAACGCCGACAUGUUUCUGGGUGAAGAGGACGGAGAUUAAAAUGAUUGCGAUGACGAGAGAGAGGAAGAGGAGAACGGGAAGGAGGGUGUGGCUGCACAGAUGGAGGUCACUCUGGAGGAUCUGAGUGAAGACGAGGAGUUUGAUUCAGACACUGUGUAUGGCUCGAGCUUCGUGGUGCCCGUUGCAGGCUUCAUCUGUCGUCUCUGUGAUCAGUUCUAUCACUUCGAGUCUUCGGCUCGACACACACACUGCACGACGCUCACACAACUUCCAGAAUCUCAAGCGUUAUAAAGCCUUAAAGAAACAGGAAGAGUCCAGCUCAA
Cyprinus carpio (common carp) is the source of this 1725-nucleotide RNA transcript. It is a transcript of the gene named RNA-binding protein 33-like, with no coding region annotated. Lineage: Eukaryota; Metazoa; Chordata; Actinopteri; Cypriniformes; Cyprinidae. The record is from RefSeq and is a predicted model, not a curated record. The transcript has 16 exons.